GACGAACGCUGGCGGCGUGCCUAAUACAUGCAAGUAGAACGCUGAAGGAGGAGCUUGCUUCUCCGGAUGAGUUGCGAACGGGUGAGUAACGCGUAGGUAACCUGCCUGGUAGCGGGGGAUAACUAUUGGAAACGAUAGCUAAUACCGCAUAAGAGUAGAUGUCGCAUGACAUUUGCUUAAAAGGUGCAACUGCACCACUACCAGAUGGACCUGCGUUGUAUUAGCUAGUUGGUGAGGUAACGGCUCACCAAGGCAACGAUACAUAGCCGACCAGAGAGGGUGAUCGGCCACACUGGGACUGAGACACGGCCCAGACUCCUACGGGAGGCAGCAGUAGGGAAUCGUCGGCAAUGGACGGAAGUCUGACCGAGCAACGCCGCGGGAGUGAAGAAGGUUUUCGGAUCGUAAAGCUCGGUUGUAAGAGAAGAACGAGUGUGAGAGUGGAAAGUUCACACUGUGACGGUAUCUUACCAGAAAGGGACGGCUAACUACGUG
RNAcentral lists this ribosomal RNA (495 nucleotides) under uncultured bacterium. RNAcentral's name for it is "partial 16S ribosomal RNA". It matches the Rfam family "Bacterial small subunit ribosomal RNA", at positions 28 to 507 of the family's 1533-position model. The record is from RNAcentral.